CCCCUCGCGCUCCGCCGGGACUCGAGACGCGCGCUCCCCGCCCCGGCCGCCCGAAAACUCCGGCCCAGCCCGCUCCCGCCUCGCGCCCGCCUCGCGCCCGCUCGCGCGCUCACACCCCCACGCGCGCGCUGACACUCACACACUCGCGCACUCGCACGCCCACGCGCUCCCGCUCGGCCUCACACUCCCACGCGCUCACACUCCCACUCCUGCCCGCUUCCCUGCUGCCGCGCAGGCACCUCGGGCGAGAGCGCCGAGGGGACCCACGGCCUUUCCCAUGGCUGACCUGAGCUUCAUCGAAGAUUCCGUCGCCUUCCCGGAGAAGGAGGAGGAUGAAGAGGAAGAGGAGGAGGGGGUGGAGUGGGGCUACGAAGAAGGUGUUGAGUGGGGCUUGGUGUUUCCUGAUGCUAAUGGGGAAUACCAGUCUCCCAUUAACUUAAACUCAAGAGAAGCUAGAUAUGACCCCUCACUGCUGGAUGUCCGCCUCUCCCCAAAUUAUGUGGUCUGCCGAGACUGCGAAGUCACCAAUGAUGGACAUACCAUUCAGGUUAUCCUGAAGUCAAAAUCAGUUCUGUCAGGAGGUCCAUUGCCUCAAGGGCAUGAAUUUGAACUGUAUGAAGUUAGAUUUCAUUGGGGGAGAGAAAACCAGCGUGGUUCUGAGCACACAGUUAAUUUCAAAGCUUUUCCCAUGGAGCUCCAUCUGAUCCACUGGAACUCCACCCUGUUUGGCAGUAUUGAUGAGGCCGUGGGGAAACCACAUGGCAUUGCCAUCAUUGCUUUGUUUGUUCAGAUAGGAAAAGAGCACGUAGGCUUGAAGGCUGUGACUGAAAUCCUCCAGGAUAUCCAGUACAAGGGGAAGUCCAAAACAAUACCCUGCUUCAAUCCUAAUACUUUAUUACCAGAUCGAAGAAUUUCGCAGGCUGAGGACACAUGUGAAGGGGGCAGAGCUCGUGGAAGGCUGUGAUGGGGUUUUGGGAGACAAUUUUAGACCCACUCAGCCACUUAGUGACAGAAUCAUUAGAGCCGCAUUUCAGUAGCCAGAGAGAAUGGGAACAAGACGGCCUUCACCUGGUGCACAAACCUCCAAGGAUAGAGAAAACAAAAGAGACAGCAGCAAAAAUACUUUGGAAGCUGGAAGCAGAUGGUUGUGACAUGACAGACUUAGCAGAUGUGAGGAACAAGCCUGUUUACGUGAUAAUCUCUCAAAAUCUCAGGAAUUGGUGGCAACAGAUAAUCUCUAGAAGUUGGAGUGAGAGGAGGCUGGAAUCCUGUGUAGUUAAAAGCUGAUGAAGAGAGAAUCUGCCUAUUAGGGGACCUAGGUGCAAUUGAGUAUCAGGAUACCUCUCUGAAAAAUAGGAUAAUUAAAUAAUAUCCUCAUGUCUUGUGUUUGGUCCUCCCCGACUUGGCCUCCAGGACACUGGCAGAAAGGCCUCUACUCUCUAGACUGGGGGCUGGAAGGGUCUUUCUGGAGAAUCUGAGGAACCCCAGGGACUUCUUAAUGAAAUGGCCCAGCUGGUACUUCUAUGGUGAAGGCAGGACAGAUAAAUAAGUGCCUUCUGUGUGCUCGGAGCCUCCACUCUGGAUUUUUGUUGUGGUGGUGGUGGUGUUUUUAUGGUGGUGGUUCCCAUUCUUAGGUAUGAACAGUUACGGACAUUUGAAGAAGGCAUAUAAUACAUAAGAACCCAAAACAAAUAGAAGAAGGCAAGAUAUAAGAAAUAAAUACUUAGGAAAAGUUCAAAAAAUGAUCAUAUCUUCAGAGAGGUAAGGGAAGAGAUUGCAACCAUGAAACAGGAACUGGAUGCUGUGAAGAAAAGGAAUAUUCUAAAAAGCUUUUGGAAACCGAAAACAUGAUAGCAGGAAUGAAAACUUCUAUAGUAGAAUCAGAAAGCAGAACUGAAAUUUCUUAGAAAAUAGAGCAAAACCAGGAGAUAAGAAAAUUGGAGAACCUGCGCAGGAGGUCCAUUGUCCAAAUAAUCAGAAAACGAGAGAGAGAACAGAGAAAAUAGAGGAGAGGAAGCAGCAACAAAAUCAUUUAAACAUUUUCUCAGGACUCAUGGACAUACAUUUACAGUUUGAAAGGACCCAUUGAAUUUCCAGCACGGUUGAUCGAAAUGCAAGGCACUACCAUUGUGAAAUUCCUAGACACGGAGGGAGGAAUUACAGGGAGAAAAAACAUUGAAAGAACCUGAAAUUUGAACAUCAGACUAAUAGCAACACUGGAAGCCAAACGUCAAGCAUGAAUUCUGAGUGAAAAUUACAACUGAUCUAGAAUUUUUUACCCAGUCAAACUUACAGUAGUCAUUUUUAAAUAUCAAGAUCAUUGAAGAUUAUUUCCUAGGAAGCUACUAGAAGAUAUGCGUCCCCAAAAUGGGGAAAACAGAUGGGGAAUUUGGGAACCAGGAGAUCCGGCAAAGGAGAUGCCCAGAAUGUUUGUGAAGUAGGGUUGUAGGGAUGGAGUCUUGAGUCCAGAUGUGAGCAAAUGAGAAGGUUCUAGAAAUUGAUGGUAUGAUAUGCCUUUAACUUCCUGAGUGUCUCAGGAUUGGGAGGUAAUUUUGGAUUCAGUACAUAGAAAACUAAGGUGGAAAAACCCCAAGAUAAUCACAGUUAUUCACUCCAGAAGGGGAAAAGAAGUGCAGGAAGAAAAUGAUACAUUAAUACACAUAAUUCAGCUCUGGAUAAGAUUUACAUCAUCACAAUAAUGGGAAGAAUAGAAUAGAAACUGAUCCAGCCAUAGUUACUACAUAACUGUAUUGGAAGGAUGGAGUGAAGGAAGGGUUUAUAUGCAUGUGGGUGGUGUGUGUGUGUGUGGCGGGGAGGGGGUGGGUGUCUGACAGGAGGAAGGAGGGUCAAAUCUUCAUUCUCCAUGGGGAAAGUCAAGAGACAAUACUAAAAAUGGAAAAGGAGUAAUACAAUUACACUAUUUAGCUCUUUGGUGUAAAUGAAAUAAUCAGUUAAAAGAGUUGAGGAAAUUGGUGGCAUAAGAGACAGGGACCUGCUAGUUUUCAUAAGAAACAUUCUAAAACUAUUUAACCCUUUAUGUGAAUGUGUAAUUUUGAUACAGAUUUUUAAAAAUUAAAAUUAUAUAAUGAAGUUGCCCCUGUCAUUUUGUUAUACUUUUUAAUGUAUGUACACACACACACACACACACACUUGAUUUUCUUGGAGUGCUUGCUAUGGGCCAGAUACUGCAUUGGACCUUGGGAACACAGUGCAAAUGAGAUCAAGUGUAAUUUCCUUCCAUGAAAACUUUCUCUGAAAUUCUGAAAAGUAAAUUUUGAACACAUGCUAUGGAAAAUAAUAGGCCAUAGCAUAGGUCAACUUUCAGCUCGUGAGAUGUCUGUAGAAUCAACCGAAAUCCUCACUAGUAGCUCAAUUAUGUGCCUGCGACUCACUGUUGUCACCUUUUAUCUGUUGUCCUGUUACAUUCUCACACAACCCUAUGAAGGUUCUAUCUGGUUCUGCUAUCAUCCGAAGCUCAGAAGGGGUGAGUAGAUUGCCUAAAAUCUCACAGCAAGUUGGUGGCAGAGCUGGGAUUUGAACCUUGGUCUCCCUGAUUCCAAAUCCAUACCGCAGAUUGCAAUCAGUUGAAAUAUUUUCCCAGGUAACUUGUUCUCUGCAGUGAACAAGAUCAAGCAUCCAUCUUUGGGGGGAGCUAACAUAAAGAUCAUCCUCACAGUGCCUUGUUGAGGAGAAUAAGCCCAACAAGCAGGGGGCAUUAUUAUCUUUAGUUUCUUCUUGAGGGAGAUUUUAGCAGAGUGAGUACCUAAAUUUACCAGGAAGAGUCCACACUCUGGUAGACCAGAAUUCACUUAGCAUCUGUUGAGAACCAUUUACAUCAGACCCUUAGAACUUCAAAAUGAACGAGACACCAACGGGCAUGUGCAUCUCUUGCACUCUGGGUGUAUGAACAUUCAGUGUUAAAACGCUUUGUGUUAAGACCUGAAUUUGUAUGAUUAGGGAGACUGCAUAUUAACUAUCUUUUGUUUAAUUGGUAUUUUGGACCAUGAUAGUUUAAUUUUUAGAAUGGCUUCAUAUAUUCUUAAAAUGAAAUUUCGUUACUCUGGUAAACUUGGAAUAUAUAUUCCUGUCGACUAGCCUUUUCCAAAAGUGUUCUGCAGAGCCAUUAAGAUACCCAUUAAGAUGUUUGUUAAGUCAAGAGCUGAUAGUCUACAAAUUUGGAGAAUCCUGAAUAUCAUAACCUCCUUUAGGAGAUUUACAGUGCACAUUAGCAUGUUAGGUGGUUUUGUAUAUAAGAACUCUGAGGUGGUUUUACAUAUAAGAACCAUAUGUUACUGUAUUUAACCAGAGUUUCCAGUUUUGUUUUGUUUUUUUUGGAACACGGAGUCAUUUUUCCAACUAAUUUUUACUUACGUGGAACACAUUUUAGGUAAUGGGGGACUCCAGGUUAUUUUUCUUUUGCAGAAAAUGUAUACAUCAUGACCUUUAGGCUCCUUUUAGCUCUGAAAUGCUGUGGCUUCACAAUUUUGAUUAUCAGUUUCAUUUGAGACACUUUGACUUAAAAUUUGCUGGGUUAUAAUUGUCAAAUAUAUACCCAAAGUCCUAUUUUACCUUUUAAGUUCUAUCUGAGAUCUUAAAGAUUUGAUUAGGACUAUAUCUUCUUUGAAAUGUAGUUUGGAAAAAUAUACCCCAAAUUACAAAUACUUUCUAAUAAAUUGUUCCAGAAAUUGCAUGUAUCUGUAUGUACAUAUGCAUAUGUGGGCAGACACGUGUAUGUGUGUAUGUAUAAUACAUCCAUACACACAUAGCCUAUGUGGACAUUUUUCAAGUACUCUAUUGUGUCCUACUCUAUACUUGAUUAAGGAAGGAAGUCAUUUAAUUGCUGCAGUGAAUAUCCCGACACAAAAUCUUCGUAUGAUUGGAUGGUUUAUCUGUACAGUAAGCUUCUAGGAAUAUAAUUUCAGGUCAGAAAGUAUAUGCAUCUGAAUUUUAAUAGGUAUUUAUUGUCCAAAAGAGUGGACCAGUUAAUGUGCAGCACCUAUAUGAAAGUUGGUUUUGCCACUCCCAUGCUGGCAAUAGAUGUUAUUGAACUAAAAUCUUAGCUGGUUUUUUUUUUCCUAAAUGGGAAAUUCACUAUCUCAAAAAAGACUAUGUGUCAUGUAUUAUUUUGUAUUUAUUAUUUAUCCAUUUACUUAAUAGAAUUGCAAAGUUAUUUGGGGGCUAGCAAGAAGUGGUCUUUGUGUGCAAGCAGUUACCAUCUGUGAUUAAUAUACAUGAAGUUAAUGACAAUAACUUAAAGCUGAAUUUUAUUAUUAAACAUGGUACAGAAAUGUUUAGUAGUUCAAGCAUUUACUUCUGUUGAAAAUAUUUCUGUGAAAUUUUGCACUAGUAGAUUCUGCCACAGAAAUAAAAUGAUGGUAGACUUUAUGGGAAAAUUGCAGAGAUGACAAACGAGCAUGAAGAUAUUUUUGAAAUUUCCACAUUUUCUUAUGAAAUCUUGUUCUCACUGUCUCUUGUGGGACUGCAAAAAAGACUUUUCGGUCUGCUGUGGAGGGAUGUCAGUAACAUAACUGAUUCAUUCUUUU
RNA transcript from Mirounga angustirostris (Northern elephant seal), 5543 nucleotides. It is a transcript of the gene named carbonic anhydrase 8, with no coding region annotated. The transcript is spliced from 8 exons. The record is from RefSeq and is a predicted model, not a curated record. NCBI's taxonomy places the organism in Eukaryota, Metazoa, Chordata, Mammalia, Carnivora, Phocidae.